Molecule: ribosomal RNA, 495 nt
Filed under: uncultured bacterium
Lineage: Bacteria
Description: partial 16S ribosomal RNA
Rfam family: Bacterial small subunit ribosomal RNA
Source: RNAcentral
GACGAACGCUGGCGGCGUGCCUAAUACAUGCAAGUAGAACGCUGAAGGAGGAGCUUGCUUCUCUGGAUGAGUUGCGAACGGGUGAGUAACGCGUAGGUAACCUGCCUGGUAGCGGGGGAUAACUAUUGGAAACGAUAGCUAAUACCGCAUAAGAGUAGAUGUUGCAUGACAUUUGCUUAAAAGGUGCAAUUGCAUCACUACCAGAUGGACCUGCGUUGUAUUAGCUAGUUGGUGGGGUAACGGCUUACCAAGGCGACGAUACAUAGCCGACCUGAGAGGGUGAUCGGCCACACUGGGACUGAGACACGGCCCAGACUCCUACGGGAGGCAGCAGUAGGGAAUCUUCGGCAAUGGACGGAAGUCUGACCGAGCAACGCCGCGUGAGUGAAGAAGGUUGUCGGAUCGUAAAGCUCUGUUGUAAGAGAAGAACGAGUGUGAGAGUGGAAAGUUCACACUGUGACGGUAGCUGACCAGAAAGGGACGGCUAACUACGUG